RNAcentral lists this ribosomal RNA (492 nucleotides) under uncultured bacterium. RNAcentral's name for it is "bacterial SSU rRNA". It matches the Rfam family "Bacterial small subunit ribosomal RNA", at positions 21 to 507 of the family's 1533-position model. The record is from RNAcentral.
GGCUCAGAUUGAACGCUGGCGGCAUGCUUUACACAUGCAAGUCGAACGGCAGCGGGGGCUUCGGCCUGCCGGCGAGUGGCGAACGGGUGAGUAAUGCAUCGGAACGUGCCCAAGUCGUGGGGGAUAACGUAUCGAAAGGUACGCUAAUACCGCAUACGUCCUGAGGGAGAAAGCGGGGGAUCUUCGGACCUCGCGCGAUUGGAGCGGCCGAUGUCGGAUUAGCUAGUAGGUGAGGUAAAGGCUCACCUAGGCGACGAUCCGUAGCGGGUCUGAGAGGAUGAUCCGCCACACUGGGACUGAGACACGGCCCAGACUCCUACGGGAGGCAGCAGUGGGGAAUUUUGGACAAUGGGCGCAAGCCUGAUCCAGCCAUGCCGCGUGAGUGAAGAAGGCCUUCGGGUUGUAAAGCUCUUUCGGCCGGGAAGAAAUCGUGUUCUCUAACAUAGGACAUGGAUGACGGUACCGGACUAAGAAGCACCGGCUAACUACGUG